CUGAGUGUAAAAACUCCCAAACCCAUUGUGAACAUACCUCUGUUGCUUCGGCGGAUGCGCCCCGGGCGCGCUCCUCACAGGGCGUGCCCCGGAACCAGGCGCCCGCCGGGGGACCGAAACUCUUGUUUUUAUAGGAUCUCUGAGUGUGAUUAUAAAUAAAUCA
This 163-nucleotide unclassified non-coding RNA is filed under the name uncultured Hydropisphaera. RNAcentral describes it as "sequence contains ITS1". Lineage: Eukaryota; Fungi; Ascomycota; Sordariomycetes; Hypocreales; Bionectriaceae. The record is from RNAcentral.